AAGAUGCUGGAAGCAGACACAAGAAAAAUGAUACCUACAUACAAAGAAGAAAUUAAUGAACAACCAUGGCCCCAUAUUAAUGAACAUUAGGAGGCAGAUGUGUACCUAGGUAAUUUUGGAGCCUGGACAUAAAGUGCUUUAGAACUCCCCACCACCACCACUGCAAAUUUCCCUUCCUUCUGCUUGUACUGGUCUGUGCUGUUUGUGCUAGAUGUGCAUUUAAGGCUUGCACUUGUUAAAUGGGAUGCCCAGAAUCAGGAAGGCAGAAACCAGGAUCCAGUUGAACCUCAACUAGUGCCAGCUGUGCCAGCUGCCCCUUCGCCACACGUGGAAUUGCCGGGGCUGAGCGAAGCAGGCAGCUGGUAGGUGUUGGAGAUGGCUGGCCAAUCCUGCCUGAGCAUAUUAUGAGGAUCUUAGUUCAUCUCAAGGCAUCUGGUGACAUGUUGCUGAUACUAGGCUGAGGACCAAUGCAGAUGACUGUGGUGGGUUGAAACGAACUGAGAAAAUGUGGAUGUUCCUGAUUAUGACUUGACUUUGGAUGAGCAUGAACCACAGUGACCUCUGUGCCUUGCCUCUCACUUGGAAUAACCCCUUUUCCUUUAGCUUCAUCAUUGCAAUUCCAAUUGUUUUGCA
Molecule: long non-coding RNA, 633 nt
Organism: Hemicordylus capensis (graceful crag lizard)
Lineage: Eukaryota; Metazoa; Chordata; Lepidosauria; Squamata; Cordylidae
Exons: 7
Source: RefSeq, a predicted model, not a curated record